Molecule: ribosomal RNA, 253 nt
Filed under: uncultured bacterium
Lineage: Bacteria
Description: partial 16S ribosomal RNA
Rfam family: Bacterial small subunit ribosomal RNA
Source: RNAcentral
UACAGAGGUCCCGAGCGUUGUUCGGAUUCACUGGGCGUAAAGGGUGCGUAGGCGGCAGGGUAAGUCUGAUGUGAAAUCUCCGGGCUUAACCCGGAAAUGGCAUUGAAUACUAUCCUGCUCGAGGGUUGGAGGGGGGACUGGAAUUCUCGGUGUAGCAGUGAAAUGCGUAGAUAUCGAGAGGAACACCAGUGGCGAAGGCGAGUCCCUGGACAACUCCUGACACUAAGGCACGAAAGCUAGGGGAGCAAACAGG